This 687-nucleotide ribosomal RNA is filed under the name uncultured marine alpha proteobacterium. RNAcentral describes it as "bacterial SSU rRNA". It matches the Rfam family "Bacterial small subunit ribosomal RNA", at positions 837 to 1532 of the family's 1533-position model. Lineage: Bacteria; Pseudomonadati; Pseudomonadota; Alphaproteobacteria. The record is from RNAcentral.
UUUUCAGUGUCGCAGCGAAAGCGAUAAACACACCGCCUGGGGAGUACGACCGCAAGGUUAAAACUCAAAUGAAUUGACGGGGACCCGCACAAGUAGUGGAGCAUGUGGUUUAAUUCGAAGAUACGCGCAGAACCUUACCAACACUUGACAUGUUCGUCGCGACUUUAAGAGAUUAAAGUUUUCGGUUCGGCCGGACGAAACACAGGUGCUGCAUGGCUGUCGUCAGCUCGUGUCGUGAGAUGUUGGGUUAAGUCCCGCAACGAGCGCAACCCUCACUUUUAGUUGCCAUCAUUUAGUUGGGCACUCUGAAAGAACUGCCAGUGAUAAGCUGGAGGAAGGUGGGGAUGACGUCAAGUCCUCAUGGCCCUUACGUGUUGGGCUACACACGUGCUACAAUGGUAUCUACAACAGGAAGCAAAACCGCGAGGUUAAGCAAAUCCUUAAAAGAUACCUCAGUUCGGAUUGCACUCUGCAACUCGAGUGCAUGAAGCUGGAAUUACUAGUAAUCGUGGAUCAGCGUGCCACGGUGAAUGCGUUCCCGGGUCUUGUACACACCGCCCGUCACACCAUGGGAGUUGGUUCUACCUUAAGGCAAGGUUUUAAACCCUUGACCACGGUAUAGUCAGCGACUGGGGUGAAGUCGUAACAAGGUAGCCGUAGGGGAACCUGCGGCUGGAUUACCUCCUU